RNAcentral lists this ribosomal RNA (497 nucleotides) under uncultured bacterium. RNAcentral's name for it is "partial 16S ribosomal RNA". It matches the Rfam family "Bacterial small subunit ribosomal RNA", at positions 28 to 526 of the family's 1533-position model. The record is from RNAcentral.
GACGAACGCUGGCGGCGUGCCUAAUACAUGCAAGUCGAACGCUUCUUUUCUACCGAGUGCUUGCACUCACUUGAAAAGAGGAGUGGCGGACGGGUGAGUAACGCGUGAGUAACCUGCCUUUCAGAGGGGGAUAACGUUUGGAAACGAACGCUAAUACCGCAUAACAUAACGAGGUCGCAUGGCUUUGUUAUCAAAGGAGCAAUCCGCUGGAAGAUGGACUCGCGUCCAAUUAGCUAGUUGGUGAGGUAAAGGCCCACCAAGGCGACGAUUGGUAGCCGGACUGAGAGGUUGAACGGCCACAUUGGGACUGAGACACGGCCCAGACUCCUACGGGAGGCAGCAGUGGGGAAUAUUGCACAAUGGGGGAAACCCUGAUGCAGCGACGCCGAGUGAGGGAAGAAGGUUUUCGGAUUGUAAACCUCUGUCCCGGUUGAAGAUAAUGACGGUAGACCGGGAGGAAGCUACGGCUAAUUACGUGCCAGCAGCCGCAGUAAUAC